AUGGCUUUGUUGCCCUACCUGACCUUGAGUACAAAGAAAACAAAGGGUCCCGUGUGAACACUGCCGGACUCGACCCUUUCUAGGCUUCCGCAAGUGCUAGGGGCUCUGCUUCUAGGAAUGGUAAGUGAACUUCCCCUACCUUCCCCUGGAGGGCGCCACACAGAGAUGUCUGGAUUUCCGCCGCACAGUGAUGCCACCUGGCAGUCAUGUGACAUCAUAUAAUGUGAGGGGCUUGCUCUUGGAAACAGGCUGUGCUACAACUGAGGUCUCUCCACCAAAAUACUGAUAACCAGCUCAGCUCAGGAUUUAAGGGGAGAGAAUCCUUCUCCCUUAAAUGUGACCACAUGAGCUGCCGGUCCCUUUGGACUCAGGACCCACAGCUGGACAGAUGUCACAUGGUGGAAUAUUGUCUUGGAUAGAAUUUCACAGUACAGGACCUGCUCACACAGAUACCCUAUGCAAGUCUCCAGGAGCCUUACUUGUCCUUUUGAAAUUUAAUAUUCUUAAUCCUUCCCAAUUAGACGGAUACAAUGGAGGGGCAGGGGACAAGAAACUGCAAAUUAGAAUCCAAGGCCAAGCCCCUUCUUCCUCUAGGGAAGAUAAGCUAUCAAGCAUUUGCUUUUAAUGAACACACCUGAGAAAAACCAACUCCCAAAUGGGCAUUGGAAUAGGGUGACAUAAAUAUGGAAUAAGUGGAGGAGCUGACAGGGCAGUGAUUUUCACAAUAAAUUGGAGUAUUCUCUCUGACAAAAGCUGAAAUUCCUAACAAAGAGAUGGUCUUGAUCUCGGGCCAACUUCUGAAGUUUUCUUUUACACUCAACAUUAGUUAAUUUUUCUUUAAUCCAGUGUGUGCUGAAACUGCCGUUCUCUUCCUCCCUCCAAUGUGUGUUACGUUUGACCUUCACAUGAGCUUGUCUGUCUGCAGAGCUGGCCUGGCCCAGAACGUUAUGUUUUUUUUCCCAUAAUCACCGUGUGCUUUCAUCAUAGCUGUUAUCGUUUGUUAAAGCACAGCCAGAUGGACUCUGUGUCCCCAGUCCCUGAGUUAGCUGACCGCCAGGGCAGGGAGGCCAUGUUGCUCCACACUUUUUUGAAGAAGGCCUUACCUUGAUUCCAUAUGUUUCAGAAUUAGCUGUGUCAUCUACAAGAGAAGGCCAAAGGUACACAUUUUACAAAUGAAGGAAGAGGCAACCCCAUGGACUGAAAUGUUCUCUGAAGUAGAAUUGACCGCAAUCAGGCCUGGCAGGCCUGGAGCAGAUCCUGACUGCAGCAGGUGCUGUCGUGGUAAGAGUGAGUCAUCUCCGGAUCUGGUGGUUUAGGAGUGUGUGGCACCUCCCCCUUCUCUUCCUGCUGCUCCAGGCAUGAGAAGUGCUCGCUCCCUCUUUGCCUUCCGCCACGUUUGUAAGUUUCCUGAGGCCUCCGAAGCCGAGCAAAUGCCAGCAUCAUCCUUCCUGUACAAGCCUGCAGAACUAAUGAGUCGCAUGGCUUCACACAGGUGUCAAGGAGCCUGGCAAGCUCCCUGCUGGGAGCCAUUUACCAGCUGCAACUCCACCCUACGGAAGAGAGAGUAGGCAUCUGGGUGGACAAUGAGUUGUUCCUGCCACCAGGAUCUUAUGUUUAUUCACUGCCAUGAUGACCUGAAUUAUUUUGGAUAGAAGACACUUCAGGAUUCAAUAGGAAGGAUCAGUGAGGCAACAGGAGUGGCGGCAGAGAAAGAACCACUAUGAAGUUUAAAGAGACACUUAGAAACAGAAUGGUCAUGAACAACGCCCAUAUAUGUUUUUUCAUUCCUUUAUUUUCAACCUCUCUGAAUCAACAUUGGAUUUUGAAGCCCCAUCUGAGUAUUUGCCAUUUAUCAGUAAGUGUAACUGUCAUAUUUAUUGAGAUUGCAGAUUUGUUAUACUAACUUCUGCUGUCUUAUUUAUGAGUUUCCCUUCGCUAUGCUUUCUUUGCCAUUUGUCUCCCUUUUGUGACUAGUAAGCAGGAUAGGAUGGGCAAUACUGUAGUAACAAACUAGCCCCAAGUCUCAGUGACUUCGUACAAGAGGCAUUCAUUCUUCCUCCUGCAGUGUCUUCUGUAGGUAAUGCAACAGUCCAGGGCAGCCCCUCUCUGCAAUGAUGCAGGGAUCUAGACUUUCUUCCAGGGCUGAAACUAGGAUGAGGCAAGUAAAGCACUCCAGAUGCAAAAUUUAAGGAGGUGCUCUUUCUCAGGUUCAUGGUCACCUCGCAAGCCUCACCUUAGUCCUGGCCCUGUUUUUUCCAUCUAGUGGCUGCACUCUUCAACACAAAGCCUACACUGGUUUGCCUCACAAUUGGGUAAUUGAGCAACAAAUUUGAUUACAGUGUAGCAAAGACAAACUCAUGUCUGCAAUUUUAAAAUAAGCUACAAGAGUGGGGCACGGUGGCUCACGCCUGUAAUCCCAGCAC
This 2423-nucleotide long non-coding RNA is filed under the name Homo sapiens (human). Its description in RNAcentral is "HSALNT0353900". The record is from RNAcentral. Lineage: Eukaryota; Metazoa; Chordata; Mammalia; Primates; Hominidae.